UCCCCUAGUAACUGCGAGUGAAGAGGGAUAAGCUCAAAUUUUAAAUCUGAUGGGUUCUACUUAUCAGAAUUGUAAUUUGAAGAAACGUUUUCUGUGUCUUGUUAACCUAAAUCUUUUGGAACAAGGUAUCAUGGAGGGUGACAAUCCCGUUCAUGGUUAACAUCAAGAUACGUUACGAUACGUUUUCUAAGAGUCGAGUUGUUUGGGAUUGCAGCUCAAAAUGGGAGGUAAAUUUCUCCUAAGGCUAAAUAUUGGCGAGAGACCGAUAGCGAACAAGUACCGUGAGGGAAAGAUGAAAAGAACUUUGAAAAGAGAGUUAAACAGUACGUGAAAUUGUUGAAAGGGAAACGAUUGAAGUCAGUCGUACUAACGGGAAAUCAACCUAUUUGAGUUGUGAAUUUUGGAUUUUGAAGAGUGUAAACCUCCUGGUUCAAAUAUUUGCGCUUUUUGGGCGUAAUUUCUCGUUCGGUAGGUUAACAUCGAUUUUGAAUAUUAUAAAAUGACUGGAGGAAUGUAGCUUCGAUCUCGUAUUGAGGUGUUAUAGCCUUUGGUAGUUGUAAUGAUCAAGAUCGAGGAUUGCAACGAAUACCCU
This 592-nucleotide ribosomal RNA is filed under the name Funneliformis africanum. Its description in RNAcentral is "LSU rRNA". It matches the Rfam family "Eukaryotic large subunit ribosomal RNA", at positions 76 to 615 of the family's 3401-position model. Lineage: Eukaryota; Fungi; Glomeromycota; Glomeromycetes; Glomerales; Glomeraceae. The record is from RNAcentral.